GCGAUCAGGACCUCUAAUCGGAAA
RNAcentral lists this ribosomal RNA (24 nucleotides) under Mielichhoferia mielichhoferiana. RNAcentral describes it as "partial 26S ribosomal RNA". The record is from RNAcentral. Lineage: Eukaryota; Viridiplantae; Streptophyta; Bryopsida; Bryales; Mniaceae.